GGCUCUUUUAAAAAUAGAUGAAUUUGACUUUAUUAAAUAAUUUUGUGAGCAUUUUCAAUAUAGGAAAAAUAAUAUUUCUUUUGGGAAUUAAAAUUUAAUGUAGGUUUAGAAAAUAUUUUGUUGCAUACAUGCUGGUGCAAUUUUACUGCGAUGAUUGUUUUAAAAACAAAAUGUCAUUUGCUCAAAAAUUCAUUUGGGAAAAUGCAAGUGGAAAAAUGUAUUUAACAAAAAAAAAGAAAAAGAGAAAGUGGAAUUUUCCUUUCCCCCUAUUCCCCUCUCGGCCUUUCGGCCCAACCCCUCCCCCGCGCUCUUCUCUUCCUGGGCCAGGCCCAGCCGGCCUUCUCCCCCUUCCCCUCUCUCUCACCCGCUGACAGGCCGGGCCCGCCUGUCAGCUUCACCUUCUCCAACCGGCCGCCCCCGAUUUCCCCCUCUCUCCCUGCUGAAACCGCAGCCCCCCCCCCCCGCUCCCCACGAUCCCCCUCUUCUCCCCCCCGCGCCUCGGGCGUUUUUGAAAGAGCUCCGCACGCCCGAGCAUCUCCACCUCCCCAUUUCCCCCUCUUCUCGCCCCUGCUCUCGUCCUUGAGCGUUUCAAGAACCGCCGCCGGAGAGCCAUCGUCGGCCGCGCGACGCCCGGCGAUUCGAGCCAUUUCCGUCCCCGAUUCUCACCGUGGUGAGCGCGUUACAUCCUCCUCUUCUCCCCUAACCCCUUACCUUGCUAAACAGCGCCCGCUAGCGACCUUCCCAAGAGCAUCGACGGGGCCGACCAUGGCGCCACCGUCGGUCUCCUUGCAAGCCGCUCCCACCGGUUGCGUUUUACUCGGUGCUUGACUCCCCUCGCCCUCCUCUACCUCCCUGUGCAAACCGAUUUGAAAUCCGAGCACCGUAGCGCCCGGGCGACAUUCUCCGGCGAGCAGCUCGCCGCCGGCCAUGGAGCGCCGCCGCGCCUCCCCUGUCUCCGGCCGGCAGCGCCACCUCUUUCCCCCCCAAACCGACCAGCGCCGUUGAUUUCUAAUCGGACGACCGAGAGCGCCCUGUACCCCUUCGGGGGCCGUUUUGCUUAAAGAACCCCUCCCAGAUUUCCAAAUUCGCCCACCGUCCUUAGCGCAUUAGGAAGGUUACGCUUUGCCGCUUAGAAAGCGUAUUCCCUGUCGGGCUAGAUCAAAAUACGCUUUCAGGAAUUUACAGAUUUGCCACUGAACUUGUUUUGGCCAUAACAUAAUCGUGUUAACUCCGAUUUGACCCGUUAAAAUUGCGUUAGAUUCGUAUUUAAAUUCUCUACGUGUUAGACCCACUACUACUGCAGUUUGAAACAUUUUAAUUUCGUGAUCCUAUUUAAUUUGCUUUUCUAUAGGAAAAUCUUAGAAAAUACAUAUCUUCUCCGUUUUAGCUCUGAUUCGAUCCGUUCAAGUUGCGUUAGUUUCAUAAUUUCGUAAGCUUCGUGUUAGUACCACUGUUGUUUAGGUUUACCACUGUUAGAUUUCCUAGUUAAAUACAAGUCCGUAGAUAGCCUUCGCAGUCCCGUUUAAUGCGUAGAUUUCACGUCGUAACUCCGUUUUCUGUGAAUUUCUCAUUGUCGUGAUCGUAGCAGCGUGUAGAUGAUUUUGGAAAACUUUUAUUUACAUUUAUUUACUGCUGGUGUACUGUUCUAAUUGUAAUCUUGUUUGCUUCGUGUAUGUUUGUCUCCGAUUGCUUGUGUGUUGAUGUUUGGUGAUCGAGCCUAAUCAGUGGGCAUUACUUCGGUGAUCAAGAUCAGAGCCUUGGAAGCAAGUAAGAUCAGCAGGACCAGCAGGAGCAAUUGGAUCAAGGCAAGUAUAGCAUUUGGGUUUUAAUUCUAUGACCAUGAUCUUGUGACUAGAUCGAUAUAAAGCAACAAAUGAUAAUAAUGACUUUUUAGCAACUUGAGGAUUUAUUCGUAAGUGAUAACCGGGAUGAAAGUGCAACCAUGAGGGCUAUAAUGGCUCUGGCUUUAGUCAAGUAUGAGUAAUUUUUCUAGCUUGUUAGAGGUUACCCGUGUGGCGCAAAUGGGGGAUAGCAGACCGUGGAUUCCCUGCGAGUGGUAGAAUCACACGGACUGACUAACGAAACCAAGCGGCCCUAACUUGUUAGACGAACCUUUGAAAGACUUCAUAGUGAUCCCUGCCGACCUACCUUGGUAGUGGGUUACGAGGCUGAUCACCUCAGGCGAAAGGGUAAAUCAUGACUCAUGGGUAAAGAUGUACAACCUCUGCAGAGUGUUAAAAACUGGUAUACUAGCCGUGCUCACGGUCACGAGCGGCCUUGGGAACUCUUACAUUAAGGGUGAUGAAUCUUGUGUUAAGAAACUCAUUGAUUACUGUUUAAUGCUCUAUAUUAUUUAUGUCACAUUGAUCAUGAGAUUGUGGGAUCUAUACAAUCUAGUUGUUAUACUUGCGGAGUUCGUCAUGGACUCACUCUUGCUAUCUCCCCCACACCUCAGGAGAAGUUUCAGGCUUGUGAUCAACCAGUCAGUUGGAUCCUGUAGAGUGAGGUUAACACCCGAAGUUUGGAGUUCUCUUCCGUGUUUGCUGCCCAAGGUUGUUUCUAAUUUAUUAUCUACGCUAUAUAACUUAUGUGUUGUCCUUUGAUAUUACCCCUUAUUUGUAGCUAUAUGUGAGGCUUGUCUUCUAAAACUCACAUAUGGUGCAUAUCUGAUUUUGUUCUUAAAAUCGGGUCUUACAAAGUGGUAUCAAAGCAAUGCUGACUGUAGGACGCAAGCCUAGCUAGAACCGGACGUUUUAGAAUGCUUCUAUCUCUCCUUACUUCUUGCUUUCACCUUAACCUUGAUAAUUGCUAAAACUUAUGCUUACCUCUGCCCUAUUCUAUUAUAAAACUUUGUCUCUAUUCUAAAUCCAACCUCCUUGUCUAUUUAGAUGGCUCAUAAUGAGGAGACCUUUGGCAAGAAUGGACAAAAGGACCUCGCUUCGCCACCCAUAAAAGCAUUCGACAAGGAGAAGCUUCUAGCCAUGCAAAAGCAAGUAGUGGAAGGAAUGACUCAGAAUGGAAACUCUCAGCAGUGCAUCUCAGGACCAGUAAAGAGACAAGUAGCAGAAGCUUGGAAAAAUAUGAGAACCCAUGGUGUUGGUAGUAGUACAUCGGGAUCUCAGGGUCAAUGCCAUUGCUGUAGGCAUUAUGGUCUUCCUUGUCGUCGGAAUAGGUCAUCUAAAAAGAAAGUUAAGGUAACAUCAAAUGGUGUGACUAAUGAGGAUAAGAAGAGGAAGGCAAAAUCACUAGAGCCAGCAUUGGGAAGUGAACAACAUUCAAAUCCUAUGUUGUCACAUUUAGCUUUGAACUCUGGCCAUGAAAAUCCAAACCUUGGAGAUGAAGAAACUUCUCAAGCUAACCCCACUGCUCAUGAGGUAUACAUAGAUGGAUGGACAAUCACUUAUAAAGAGUUUCAACCUCGAAGCAUCAACCAAGUUAGGAAGAAAGCUAGCCAGCUAGAGACAAACCUUCAGAGUCAGCGAGCUGAUAACACACCGAGCAACACCUCAGUGGAAAGUGAUAUCACGAAGGAUCCAGCUAAGAAAAAGUGUUAUCACUACCGACAGGAAGGACACUAAGUAAACUCUUGUCCAUAGAGGAAUCAAUAGAUGCAUCAUGAAAGUAGCCACACCGAGUUUAAGAUAUAGGAGUUUGUGCCCUUGUGUAAUAAAAACGCUAGCAGCGAAAGUCGAGUUUGUGUGCCUUGUGAACUUUUACUGCUUGGUUGAAUUGUCUUUAUGUUUAUGUUUAUGUUUGAUUUGGAUCUUUGUAAUGAGUGUAAUGAUCUUGUGAGUUUCUUCACAAUUUCAUUUAGUUUACAUGCUAAGGCAUAAGGAUUAAUGACAUAAAUAGUUGGGUUUUGGUUUUUCUCUUGUUACCUUAUCGUGCCUUUCUAGAGUAUCUCAUCUUUAUCGGUUUAUGUCUCUAUUCUUGGAUGACUAAAAAUCAUGAGAAAAUUCUGGAUGAGAGUGGACUUCAAGAUCUUUCUCUGACCGCAAGAAUCACCCUCAUAGCUAUUAUGGUUUGUAAGUUACAAAAAUCACAAGACGUUACAGAUGUGCUGUCAAGAACCUGGACCAGUUUUGGUUGCCUGCUGUUUUGGACAAACAUAACUAUAGAAUUUGGAAAAGUGUUCUAUAGAAAGGUUGUAGAAAAUUUUCUAUGCUUUCUAACGGUAUAAGCUAUAACCCUAUUGGAUUAACAGAACAAGGGUUAUGUCCAUUUUACAGCGCUGGUGAUUUUCUUAUCGCGAGAAAAUUUCAGGAUAUUUAUUCUUCCUUGCACAUAAGUUCCUUGGGAUGUCAAAAGGGUCUCAAUGCAAGAUAACUUGUCAAGAAAAAGUGCAAGCUACCUUCCUUGUGCCUCCUAGUCGACCUUUCUUAAGGGGGGUAGUACCUUGAUAUCAUGGGUUGAUGCAUUUUCAACUUAUUUUGAAGUGAGAGUUGUCUCAUGAGAUAUUCUAUGAAUAUGAUCAUCUCUCCUUCUCGUGUCAUUGACGUUGGUAACUUGAUGAUAGGGAGUGUAGUAUCCCAUGGAUCAGGAGCCCUAUAUGAUGCCUCUUACUGAUACGUGGGAAGAGAAUGAUGAUCCUAUCCUUGAUGGAUUUUAUGAGUAUGAUGAAACUGAGUACUAUCAAAAUAAUGAUACUAAAGAGCAAGUUGGAAGUGAAUCAAAUCAGAAUCCACAACGGCGAAAGAGAAAAAGGAAAAGCUAUAAGAAGUCUACUCAUGGAAAUAAGGUGCAACGGGACUAUAUCAAUGGAAGACUGAGCAAUGUGGAUAGGCAUAACAUUCAUGGAGCUACCAAAGUGGUUGGUGGCUAUAUUCAAGUAGACUCAGCGCAAGUUUUUGCUCUGUUUGACCCGAGUGCUUCGCAUUCUUUCAUUUCUGCUGACUUGGUAAAGACGAUCGAGUGGGUGAAGUGCCCAACGAGGAAGCCUUUGUUAGUUCAAACCCCAGUGGGAGAAAUACAAGCAGAUCAGGUGUGCUCAAAUAUCAAUCUGGUCAUAAACAAGGAAAACUUCACUGUAAACCUCAUUGUGCUAGAGUCGCUUGGUAUUCCCUUGGUCCUUGGUAAUGGAUGGUUGUGUGCACACAAAGGAGUGAUCUAUGGUACCCAGUACAAAAUGCUCUUAACAGCACCGUCAGGAAAAAGAAUUGAGUAUCACGGUGGUCCACUCCUACCUGAUGAAGCAAAUGCAUAUUAAGUUCCCAUGUCUCUUGGAGUUGUAAGCUAAAGGAAAUUAGUAGUCAAGAUGGACUUUGGUCAAUUAUGAAUAAUAGUUAUUCAAUGGAAAUUAUGUUCACGAGGUGUGACCUUGAGACAAGUGUUUAAGUUUGGUAUGCAAGUUGUGAAGAUGAAAGGAUUAUCAAGAUAUUUUCCUGUUUCUCUCAGAGGAUCUGAGCCUCUCCCGAAUCUCGAGGACGAGAUUCAUUUUAAGGGGGGUAGAAUUGUAACACCCAAAAUUUGGCUCUUUUAAAAAUAGAUGAAUUUGACUUUAUUAAAUAAUUUUGUGAGCAUUUUCAAUAUAGGAAAAAUAAUAUUUCUUUUGGGAAUUAAAAUUUAAUGUAGGUUUAGAAAAUAUUUUGUUGCAUACAUGCUGGUGCAAUUUUACUGCGAUGAUUGUUUUAAAAACAAAAUGUCAUUUGCUCAAAAAUUCAUUUGGGAAAAUGCAAGUGGAAAAAUGUAUUUAAAAAAAAAAAGAAAAAAAGAAAGUGGAAUUUUCCUUUCCCCCUAUUCCCCUCUCGGCCUUUCGGCCCAACCCCUCCCCCGCGCUCUUCUCUUCCUGGGCCAGGCCCAGCCGGCCUUCUCCCCCUUCCCCUCUCUCUCACCCGCUGACAGGCCGGGCCCGCCUGUCAGCUUCACCUUCUCCAACCGGCCGCCCCCGAUUUCCCCCUCUCUCCCUGCUGAAACCGCAGCCCCCCCCC
RNAcentral lists this long non-coding RNA (5927 nucleotides) under Sorghum bicolor (sorghum). RNAcentral describes it as "long non-coding RNA (SBIC_LNC015179)". The record is from RNAcentral. Lineage: Eukaryota; Viridiplantae; Streptophyta; Magnoliopsida; Poales; Poaceae.